UAAUGCCAGUAAAAUAAUUGUAAUCCAACAGCAUUGCCCAGCAGGGAAGCWGCUUAUUUUCAAAACACAGCAAGAGUGAGAAAACUUACAACUCUCUUGAAUUGUGAAAAAUGGGCAUUUUGCUUUCUCCAGACAAGAUGAUUCAGUUUUUAGUGGCCGUAGCUGCAGUUUGUACUUUGGGCUUGAAUUACUGUGUCCUUUUUUUUCCCCCCUCUUUUUUUCACUGGAAGGACUGAAUUGGUUUUAGUAUCAUGUCCUAAAGGUAGGACCAGUUUUGAUCUCAGUCAUGGCUAUGAUGCAUCUCUGUGCAUCAUUGCAAGGUAAAGAUUAACCCUUUCUAGCCCUCUUUGGUCAUUUGAUGAGCACUGAACUGCUUUGAAAGGAGUUCUGUCCAGAAAAGCAGCCAGUGGACUCUCAAUUUAAACCUUUGAAAUGCCCAAAAAUAAUCCUGUGAAAAUAUAUUUACUUUUAUUUUUCAGAARACUCGAUAUGGCAGAAAUCUCAGGCUUCAUUUGUGGCUAUAUUUCAUGUGUGUUUUGCUUGGGAAGUAGAUUUCCUUAGCUGUAUAAAAAUGGGGCCUGGCAGUAUCUAGCCAUCAUCCUGCUUUGAGAUUCAGGCCUUGACUUUGAGCUGGAGCGACCCUUCGAGUAAAGGGGAAGUGACUGCCUGCAUGUCCUCACCUGAGCAAGAUUCCCAUCAGCAGCUGGUGACUUUGCAAUUCAUUAUGUAUCAUAAGCACAACAAAAGACAAUCCAGUACAGUCRCACUUGAAGUGGAACCAUUAUUUAUGGAUGAAGAGAGUGCCUAG
Molecule: long non-coding RNA, 808 nt
Filed under: Dromaius novaehollandiae (emu)
Lineage: Eukaryota; Metazoa; Chordata; Aves; Casuariiformes; Dromaiidae
Description: lncRNA (ENSDNVG00000004233.1)
Source: RNAcentral